UUCCCAAACUACAGGGCAGGAAGUGAGUGGGCUCCCUUGCCUAUCAUUCUUUGUUUGGAAUCCUAAAUAAGAAGCAGGCUCCCAGCCUCCAGCACCUACACAACGUUACUUAGUAAAUGAAGGUUUUACUUGCCUGAAUUCCUCCCUCUUAUUGUGUUUCCUAACAGUUAUUCAUAACAAAAUACUGCACAGAUUCCAAGCCGGCAGGGUACCACUGUGGACUAUCAUGUCGACACAAUCAAAUCUGUUCUCUCAUCUUAAGUGCGUUCCUUUACUUACUCUUAUAAAGACUCAUUCAUUAAUUAAUGUCAGAAUACACAUCAUUCUAUUAUUAUUCUAAGGGAUAUAUCCAUAUGUUUACUUGUCCCCUAAGUGUGUUGUCUCAAAAGCAUAGAUUAAUUUUGCAAGUACUAUACAUAUUUCUAUGGUGAUUAAUUAGAAUAUAUUCAUCCAAACCAUUUCUCAUCCAGUUUUCUGUAGGUAAGAUUGAUAUGUGAAAACAAACAGCCUUUUGUUCCAAUUAGGUAGCAGCAUUUUAUAUCCAUUUAUAGAUGAACUAAAAAUAAUACUCGCAAUUGCAAGCAAAAGGCACCCUCUUGGUUCAUAUUUCCAACACACACACUUUCAAAAAAAUAGCAGGCACUCAUGAUGGAAGAGAUGUGAAUGCUACUGCUGACACCAAAGCCUCCAGUUACCCCAGGAUUUGAGUGCUGACUGGUUCCUGAUUUAUUUUAGGCAAAUUAGGCAGCAUAAUGAGUAAAACAAAUACUUUGAGGAUCAGAUUUAAAUGAACAAAUCUAAAGGCAUUCAGGUAUACGUCUGAUUUCCAUGGUGAUUUCUUCAAUUGUGGUAAAGUCUUGGCAGCUGCAAGCAUCAGUUAAUGAUAUGGAGUUCCAACAAUAACAGAGUCCUGCUCAGAAUGGAUUUACAGAAAAUUUGGCCAGUCUGAUCCAAAGCUACCAAAUUGGCAAAUUUACUCAAAGUCGAUGGUGUCGAUUACACUUCACAAGACAAUGAUGAGAAAAAAAUCUGGUGUAUAGAAACAUAUUGUCUUUGGGGGUUUAAGAAAGAAAAAUUAAUUUCUUGGCCAUUACUUGUCCAACUGGAUAUAAGGACCCACAUGUCCAUCGUGUUAACAGUUUAAAAUACGUUUUCACAAACAUCAUCUCAUAAAAUUGUCACAACAACCCUGUGAAGCAGGAGAUGCUGACUUUAACAGACAAAGAAACGAAGUACUAAACAAUUAAAUAACUUCCCUAAAGUCACACAGAAAUGAUCCAAACAACUGUAAAAACAGCUGAAGCUAUAAAAUAAAUAAAUUUAAAUGACUAUUCAUCAAAGUUGGUCAGAUUGUGGUACAAGCUCUUUCUUUAUGACCCUAAUAGACAACUCAUUCACUAGCAGAGUUUCCCUCGUGGGAGGUGACCAGUCGGUGGCCUGUGGGAUAUGGCAAACCACCAGGUGAUGGAGGGCACUCUAAGGACCAGACACUCCUGGAUGACAAAUGCUGACAUCUUCUUCCUCAUAGCCGGCUGGGCAUGAAUUCAUCUGGAGCCACUCCUGAAACACAUAUAUUUUCUUUCUCGGGUUUCCAGGGAUUCAAAGAUGUGCUUUCAACAAAACAACUUGGACGUUCCUUUGGGUGCAAAGGUUUAAAGAUUCCGCAUUGCCACCGCCAUGGCACAGGCUGCAAAUGUGGCGUGUGUUCGAUCCCUGACCUGGGAACUUCCCUUGCCAAGGACAUAGCUAAAAAAAGAGAAAAGGAGGAAAGAUUUCAAAACAAAACAGGCAGUUCCCGUAUGGCUCAGGAGAAACGAAUCUGACUAGCAUCCAUGAGGAUGCAGGUUCAAUUCCUGGCCUUGCUCAGUGGGUUAAUGAUCCAGCAUUGCCAUGAGCUGUGGUGCAGGUCACAGACACAGCUUGGAUCUCAUGUUGCUGUGGCUGAGGUGUAGGCCAGCGACUACAGCUCUCAUUCCACCCCUAGCCUGGGAACCUCCAUAUGCCAUGGGUGCAGCCCUAAAAACAAAACAACCUUACACAAAAAUGUUCAGCAUUGUUAAAUUCUAUAUCUUGCAUUCUUUCUCACCUCUCUCUCUUUCUAAACACAUUUGUCAAGGCACAGGAACAAAAGCCAUUCCGAAAAGUACCUGAACAAUAUUUUACAAUUAAAAAAUGAAUUUUGAAUUUGAAGACAAGGAUCCAAGGUAUCACUUGUCCUAAGAAUGCCAAGGCACCUAAAGACAGAAAAGCCAGUUUCCUACUGAUCCAAAAGGUGGACUUUUGGAACCACAGAAGCUCAGGCUGGAAGAGGUUAUAGACCCUCUAAUCCAAACCUCUCAUUUUCCCAAGGAGGAAGUCCCAGUGAUAAGAAGGUCACGUAAAGAAUUAGCACCUGACCACAAUGUAAAAACAAACAUCUCCUGACCUCUGUCUAGGGCUUCUCUGCUAUAAUUUCAUAGUGAAAAGGUGCCUGGUCACCUAAGCAACAAUUCUUAGGAUCAGUCAGCUCCAAGCUACCUGGAUGUUUUCCCCUCCCUAUGAACAGGGACCAAGAAAUAUCUUCUCACUUCCUGCCUCUGAGCUUUUUCAGAGGAAAAUAAACUGGUCAAAGCAAAGGAGAGGAAGAAGCUAUGUGCCUAUUUCGCCAGCUCCAUCUCGGGCAUUAAAAUUGUAUUAUCUUGAGGUCAAGACAUCUUUUUUUUUUCUUUUUUAAAAAUAUUUUUUAUUAAAGUAUAGUUCAUUUACAAUGUUCUGUCAAUUUCUGUUGUACAGCAAAGUGACCAGUCACACAUACAUAUACAUUUUUUUCUCAUAUUAUUUUCUACCUUGUUCUAGAAAAUAUGAUAUAAGUGAAUGGAUAUAGUUCCCUGUGCUAUACAGCAGGACCUCAAGACACCUUAAAUCUAACCCUGGCACUAGAAUCUUCAAAAAUUUGACAUAAGGUCAUGACUUCCCAAUUAGCUUCUGUAAGAUAUUGAAGGCCAAAUAAAACUAGUGAAGGUUAAGGGAUUAGUUUAAGCAGAAAGUAGACCAGGGUAAAGGUAGUCUUUUCUUUUUUUUUUUUUUUUCUGUCUUUUUGCCUUUUCUAGGGCUGCUCCUGCAACAUAUGGAGGUUCCCAGUCUAGUGGUCUAAUCGGAGCUGCAGCUGCCAGCCUACGCCAGAACCACAGCAACGCAGGAUCCAAGCCGCAUCUGCAAACCUACUCCACAGCUCACACCAACGCCAGGUCCUUAACCCACUGAGGAAGGCCAGGGAUUGAACCUGUAACCUCAUAGUUCCUAGUCAGAUUUGUUAACCACUGCGCCACGAAGGGAACUCCAAGGUAGUCUCAUUUUAAAAGUUUGCAUAAAGGCACAUGUCUUCAACAGAUACCAUUUAUUCCUGGGCUGUGGCAUCCCUCCGAAUAGUUUGAAAGAUCUUAGAGAAAACAGGAUUUAUUCAUUUCUUUUCUAACACAUCAGUGUGAGACCUCAGCGUAGGUGCUCAAUAAUUUCCUUUUGAAUGAAGGUGAAAAAAAAAUAAUAUAUUCUCCUUUCAGCCUUUAGGAAGUAGCCCUCUUUUAAAUGGCAAAUAAUUUAAGAAACAUGGGCUGCCUAAAUCACUGAAGAGAGAAGCAAAACUUUUUUGUACAAUAAUAGCUAUAGUCAAUCUUCAGAAUUAUUAAAUCGAAUCUUCUUGUAUCAUAUGAAAGGAGACAAAGUCCAGUGAGGUGAACCUCUGUGCUGCAUUUGUACACACCCCAAGACAGAACCAUGUGAACCAUCAACUUCCAAGAAGUCUCAAGAAUCCCAGUUCUGUGAGCCAUUGCAUCACGGAGGGAGGUCUUGGUCACUGGACCAGUUGUCUAGGCACAGAGAAGAGACCAUCAAGACCAACAUGCUAUGCCUCACACUCCCAUCCCCUUGAUUGCCAAUCUCCUUCUUUAUCCUGGUCUGUACAAUGAAUUGGACCAUCCUCAUCGCCUUUCCCCUCUCUUUCAAACCUUUCCAAUUUCCCUUGGUCAACUGAAUACUCCUCUCUACUCUCCAUCUUUUCUUACAAUGUUCUCUUCACUCGUCUUACUAAAACCUCUAAGCCCUCUAAGUACUGCUCGGAAGACUGCUCGCAUGGAGGCUUUUACUUUUCUUGCUCAUGCAUCAGAGCAUCCUUCCUCACUCUCAUUGCCACUUCUAGUCCAACACUCUCAUCCACUUCCUCCCAAAACUACUGCUCUCUUAAAUCUUGUAUCAUGCAAAUACGUCACCCUUGCAGUGUAAUUGUUGUGGUCACCUACCACCUCGUCACUCUCCUCAUUUGUAGACAACUUUAGCCCCUAGCUCUGUCUUCCUCUGCACCCCACUACAGUCAUUAUUGCUAUGACUCAUCAUGAACGUGAAGGAACCUUGACUUCCUGACUCUCAGAUCCUAGAUCUCCUCCUACCCAAGGAUAUGUCAUCAGACCUCAAAGAACACAAGCUUCAGCACAGGAAACAACAAGCUCUCCUAUCUCCCUAGUUAUGAUAUGGUGAGUAUUAUCAUGGAAGGAACAUAAAGUACUAAAGAAACAAUGCUAGGAGUUUCAUUAAUUUCUUCUCAGGGAGUUGAGGAAGUGUGUAUGAGAAUACCUAACAUGUGAUAGACCUUGAAAGAUGAAUAUCAGUGACAAGAUGGACAAUGGCAGAGGGAACAGCACAAGCAAAGCCAUCAAACAAUCUCAAGUUCAGAAAACAGCAAAUAACCCGAUAUGGUGAAGAAAUCAAGUUGUAUUGGGAAGAGUGGAAAAAGAUGGUAAAGGUUCCGGACAAGGCCAGAUUAAGAAGUGUAAUAAAUAACAAACCAAGAAAUGUUAAAGGAAGUGUUUUAAAUACCCAGCCAAGAAAUACUGAAGGAAGGGUAUUAAAUACCAAGCCAAGAAAUAUUGAAGGUUUGAAGAGGAAUUAUAUGGGCAGAUCUGUGAUUCUGAGCUAAUGAAUGCAGACUGUAAUGAGUAGUUCAUAAGUCGUAGAAACAAAGUACAUUUGGAUUACGGACAAGGGAGAGGUUAAUUCCAAUUCAGCAUCUAAUUCUUGGCAGAAGCUGAAGU
This 5063-nucleotide long non-coding RNA is filed under the name Sus scrofa (pig). RNAcentral describes it as "lncRNA (ENSSSCG00000062066.1)". Lineage: Eukaryota; Metazoa; Chordata; Mammalia; Artiodactyla; Suidae. The record is from RNAcentral.